GUCUAUGGCUACACCACCCUGAACACGCCCCAUCUCAUCUGCUCUUGGAAGCUAAACAGUCAGGCCUGGUUAAUUCUUAGAAGGGAGACUUUGUCUCACAAAGAGAACAAAACAACCAGGGCCUAGGCG
Molecule: ribosomal RNA, 129 nt
Filed under: Mesocricetus auratus (golden hamster)
Lineage: Eukaryota; Metazoa; Chordata; Mammalia; Rodentia; Cricetidae
Source: RNAcentral